GCAAUCCUACUCCGACGGUCAAGAGUUGUCCUGGCCACGUCCUUGUGACUACUGAGGGAUGAGAAGAGAUAGUUAUCUGGACGCCUACGAAAGAUGCAGAAAGCUUUAAAGCCUCUCAGGUCUAGGUAUCACGGGAUACCUAACUGUUUAAAGUACUCAGAAAACAGAAAAGCCGAGAAGCAGAUGUUGUUUCAGCUGACACGUUACGCCAAGAAGAAGAACAUGAUCUAGUGACCCAAGCUUGCAAUCUGAUUUUUCAUCAAAUCAAUACUCGUCAAACCAGGUCAAACCCUAGGUUCAAACUCACGAUCAAACCUGACCAAUCCAUUGAAACAAGGGAGAAAACUUCAUACUCAGGAUGAAUUAUUUGGAUUUCAUUGAAAGAGAUUCCUUUUAUGACGAUCCACUGCACUGGAGUUACAAGACAGAUAGUUCGUCGGGCGAACGAACGGAAGAUUCCAACGAAGAGAACCACUGGAAAAACGAUUAUCCGGACGAGGACGAAAACCUCUUUGCGGACUGUAUGGACGGGGACGACACUCGACCAGUAGUAGAACAGCUGGACUUGGACCGAGAAUGGGAAAUUUCUUUCGGCAGUGAAUUCAGCAACCCUUUGUGUGAAGACGCUCGUGAUGAUUUGGCAGACAACGACGAGUUUCGCGAUGUUGAUGAUGAUGACGAUAAUGUAGAACUAACGCCGUUCCGGUACACGAACAAUCAGACUCGAAUUAUGAAGCAUUUGGAAAAGCUGCGGAACGAGUCGAAGGAGGUGCACAUUGAUGAUAAAGAUUAUUCCCGGUCCUCCUUGUCGUCCCGUGGGAGUAGCGGUGGUGAGGAAGAUCACAACUAAGUCAAUAAUUUUCCGCUCGCUUAGUUUUCCGGGUAAACACGUUUGUUCGUUCAAUGAAGUACCAUAAAGACAGACCCCUUCGAUUCGAGCAUCAGUAACAGUUCAAACGCAGUCAAAACCCACAACCGACAACAGAGAGCGCAGACACUAAAAUCCGUUACACAACGAAUAAACUCUCCACCUGCCUGCAUAGCCUAUAGCUCCCCAAGUGGCUCGGUGCAUUACAAUACCAAAUCAGUCUUACAGAUCGAUGCGACUAGUAAAAAGAGCAAUUAGCACCAGAAACCGAUGGAAAAUGCUUCUCUGUGAUGAUCGUCUCGUGUCGAAAGCGCAUCUCGUCACCACUGACUGUCUUCUGAAUCAUCAUUUGAUUCGAUUUUCGCCACAUUUCCCACUGCUCGGUCACGCGAUGACCAGAGGCCAGACCAGAGCGUCAACUGAAGCGAGAUUGGCAACGCCGAGCUUAUCUCGCCCGGGCCGGGCCGGGCGGUCCGAGAUUAUCAGACAAAAACUCGCCGAAAGUGAUGGCUUGGGAGGAGACAGAGAGUACAUAAAUUAUGUAAGACGGUGUUUUUUCUCCUCUCUCGAGCUGCUGUAUUAUCAUCAUGUUUCGCAAAUUAAGCUGUGGUGUGUAGGUGAUUACUGCGUUCCACGGUCGAAAGGAAAAAAAAAUGUUGGCUGUGCAUGAUCCGCUUGAACGCAUUUUUGGGAAACGAAGAAUGGUUUGAGUGCGUCGCUGUCGAAUUCUCACAAUGUAGCUGAUGAAUGGAAUCAAUGUGACUGAGGCGGUAAACGCACGAGACGAAAAUAUAUUUGCAUUCAUAAAAAGAACUGUUCGUGAUUGUCCUUUUCUUUUGGAUUUCUUUCGGAAUUUCUACAAGGGUUUCUCCAAGAAUUUUUCCAACAUGUUCUCUAAGAAUUCCUUUAAGAAUAAGCAUAAGUGAGUCGCACAAAUUCGUACGUGGUACAAUCCUAGACCGCUGUUAUGAGGGUUGCCUCCUUACUGUCCGAAUAAUUGGGACUAAUCUCUCACUCUUAGACGAGACUGUCGCAAUCCUCCAAUAGUCAAGAACUGGCCUGGCGACGUGCUUGAGACUGCUGAGGAAUAGAAAAGGAUAGUUAGAUGGACACAUAAGAAAGAUGUUGACAGUUCUACGAUCUCUCAGGCCAAAGUAUCAUGGGAAUUUAAAUGUAGUUGGAGGAAGAGUUAAGUCUAAAGGAUACGAGUGGUCAACUUUUAGACGCACAAAAUAUUAUUUAAGUGACCAUUUUGUCGAUUUUGAGUUGAGCAUAUAAAAAAAUUCUUCAGAUUUCAAGCUUCCAGGAAGUUUUUUAAGAUUAUUUUUACGAUGAUAAGAAAAAUUACAAUAAAUCGAAGAAAAUUGGGUCGAUUUUGAAACUCCUUAGAUAGUGUAUGGGAUGAAAUAUUGGUGGAAAACUUUAAACCUUAUUAACUCAAAAGCGGUUUUUUGUCACUUACACCCCUUUGAUUCUAAGAAAAUUGUGAGCGCCUAAUGGUUUCGGUUGUGAUUUUAAUUGGGCUCCUACUUUCAAGUUCCUCUGCAUUGGAAAUGUAUGAUAAGCAUUACGAGAAGAAAACAGCAAUUAGCCCGGAAGCAACAAUCGAAAACGGUCACGCAUUUUCUCGCUUCAAAGUGACUCAUUUCAUUGGUUUGGCCGAUGAAAGUUUAACUAAAUGGUUGAAUUUUCUGUGAAAUAGUUUUAAAAGUGACGAAGAUUUGUAAGUUUGUGAACUAGUGAACUAGUGGGUGGAAUGGUGUUCCUAGAUCUUCUUCAGAGCGCUGCUUAAAGUAAGAAAAGCGGAAAACUGACGAUGGCGUGAUGUCUAAUUUUAGGAUUAUGUUUUCGUUUUCAACUAUAUCAAGGCCCGCUGUUGGAAGAAUACUGGAAGUUUGAUUAUUUGGUGAGAUCUUUCUUAUUUCUAUGAGAUGCCUUAAUUUUGAAAGUGUGAGCCUGUAAAAAUUUCACAAUUUAGUUGCUUACAAUUUGAUUGUUUUAGUAUAACCGGGGAAGGGAUCAAAAUAUGUUUAUCUCGUUUCAGAGAGCGAGCAAUGGCGCUUAAGCCUAGGCUUUCGAGCCCGGGCAUAUGGGGAAAUUCCUAUGUCCCAUCCCAGGAAGAGGAGCCUUGACGGAGUGACAUUAACUUUCUUAGCAAAGUCACUCACAACGUUUUUGCCUAACUUCUAUACCAUAUACUACACGGAGCGGUUGGUACGAGAUGUCCCCGUUCUUUGGUUUUAUUUUCAUUCAAUGGCGCUGCACAGUAGGCCUGGCCGCUUCAAUGCUUGUAAUGCAUCACUGAUUCACUGCAAGUAUUGAUAAUGACAAGAAAAAUGAUAGAAGUAGUCGAUUCUAUCAUUUUCCAGGAUUCUUCCAAGUGAUGGCUGUGUAUGUGUAGACUAGACUAGACUAGACUUACACCCCUUUGAUUCUAACCCCCUCAUUUGGUUGUGAAUUUCUUUAAGUACUCCCAAAAAAUUAACCCUCAAGCGAUCGCGCUGUUGUAUUUCUUACAAGGCAUGCUCCAGGAACUCCUGUAAUGUAUUGCAAAGACCUAAAUAUCCCACACACUCCGUUAUUAAAAUUUAAUUCAAAUGAUUAAAGUGCAUUUCACCCCACACUCCCAUAAGAACGGCUGCCCGGGUGCUUGAAUUUUAAUUUACGCCAAUAUCAAUGCCCAUCGUAACUAACGCGCAAAAUUUCGGCAGCUAGAAAAAUCGCACCAUACAUUACUGACCUGGUUUUAUGAAUCAUCGCUCAUGUGACGACGGACGGAUGGUCGGCCGGGGCAACGAUCGCGCAGCGAUACGUUGUUCAUGAUCGUACACGUUGGGUCCGGUUGGUGUGGUACAGUUUUGAUUACGCUUGGUUGAGUUGACGACGAUAACGAUGAUGAUGGUAAUGAUGAUGAUGACGAGUAGGAUAGGUAGAGUUCUAGGUUUUGGACUUUGAGUAUUUACUUUUGGUAUGGUUUUGGAUACGCCCAAGUUGGUUCGGGCAUUGUUAGGAAGUAUCGUGACUAUUUCGGCAAGACGAGAGUGAUGGUAGGAGUUUUAGACACGCCCAAGCUGGUUCGGGCAUUGCUAGGAAAUUUAGGCUAUAAAUACUGAGGCUUUGGCUUCAGUCGGGGAGAGUUCGGUGACAACGUUAACACAGGCAGCACAUCGGAUAAGUCUUGAGCUCCCAUGUGGGACACCUCUAGAUACUGUCCAAAUAAAGGCUGUAGGUAGGACGUAGUAGUCGGGUCAAGAAGAAGCUGGAAGUGUCUCUAGUAGUUCGGUGAAGAAAUACUGACAAUGUUAAGGUAAUAUAAGAACAAGUGAAUCGUUGUAAUAUAAGUGAUGGUUUGUGAUACUUCAAUAUAGUUUAUUAAAACUGUGUCGGACUGUAAUGAAAUGAAGGAUAUCACAUUCCGUGUAGUGUUUAAUGCUGCCCCUGGACGGUACAGGGCGCUUCAGUAUCAUAAAGGAAUACUUCCAAAAAUUUCACUUGAAAUUAUUUCUCCAGGAUGUUUUUUCAAUGAGGAUUCGCGAUAUGCUUUUCAGGAAAUAGGUGGUACGCAGAUCAACUGGGGAUUCUUUCGAAGAAUUCUUCAAUAACACCUUCGAUUGUUCCUCUAGGGCAGACAGCUAGGGGCUCCAAAUAUUCUAGGACAGGAAUCCUCCAAAAAUUAUCCCAAUGGCCCCUCCAAUGUGUUCUUCUUGAGCAUAUGCAAUGAUUGUUUUAGAGAUUCUUCCAACAUCUUUUUUAGGAUAAGGUUAAGAAAAAUUUCUCCAAGGAUCGCUCUUUUUUUUUGUUCUUUUGUCUGGCUAAGACCAUGGGUUGGUCCAUCUUGCCAGGAUCUCUCUUUGAAAUCUUUAAAUUUCUUCUCCAGGGAUUUUUUCCAGCAAUUUAUUCAUUUAUUCAUUUAUUUCAUGUAGUAAAUCAUAAGUAGACCGUUUCAAGACAAUUUGAACAUAAAACUAGAACUGUUUGCAUAUUUUAUUUAAUUUUUACAUGCAUUUCUCAAACUGAUUCUAGUAGUUUUUUCCAGUUCGAGAGUUCUUCAACUAGUUUUUUUUUUCUAUUUUCUAGGUUUAAUCACCGCAUGACUUUAUGAUAAUUGAAUUUUAUUGGCUUUUCUCGGUGAACUUAAUACUACAAAGAAGGAGGGAGUAACGAAAGUAAUAAAAGAAACGGUGGAUAGAAUCGCAAGUGUGCGACGAGAGAAAUUGAAUAGAAGUUGAAAAUUAACAGAGGGCCAUAAUUGAACAACACAAUCACAACGACGAUCCCUUCUUAUUCCAAAAAUACCUUCAGAAAUUAUUCCAAGGACUUCUCCAAGGCUUCCAAACAUUAUUCUAAGGAUUCCAAGGAUCUUCCGGGGAUACAUACUUGCAAGAAUUCCUCUUGUCUAUCUUCUAUGAAUUCUUCAAAGGAUCUAACAAUUGUAAUUUCACUGAUAUUUUUUCGAUGAUAUUUAGGGU
Molecule: long non-coding RNA, 5337 nt
Organism: Aedes albopictus (Asian tiger mosquito)
Lineage: Eukaryota; Metazoa; Arthropoda; Insecta; Diptera; Culicidae
Exons: 3
Source: RefSeq, a predicted model, not a curated record